Long non-coding RNA from Dendrobium catenatum, 460 nucleotides. RefSeq lists it as uncharacterized. NCBI's taxonomy places the organism in Eukaryota, Viridiplantae, Streptophyta, Magnoliopsida, Asparagales, Orchidaceae. The transcript is spliced from 3 exons. The record is from RefSeq and is a predicted model, not a curated record.
ACAGGCAUGUAUUGGUACAAGGGUGGUUGCUAGUGAGAGUCUAUCAGCAAUUAGGAAAGAUGUCCUAUCAAAGUGUUACGGGGGCGACAUUACUAGGAAAAAGAAGCUGCUUAAGAAGCAGGCCGAAGGCAAGAAGAGAAUGAAAGCAAUUGGCAAGGUCGAAGUGCCCCAAGAAGCCUUCAUGGCUGUCCUGAAACUUGAGAAGGAGGUGAUAUGAUAACUGUGAUCGUAUUUAAUCCAUGGAGUUGCUUCGUUUGGUCACCGUGGAACUUCCGUUCAGGGUUUGGCUCUCUCAUCAUUUCACAUGAAAUCCUCUUCAUUGAUCUCCCUGUGGAAACUCACCACCAUAUUUUAUUGACAUAAGCAGUCCUAUGGUGAGCAUUAUUUCACAUUUUGUUCCCUUUUGCAAGAGUUUCUUUAGGAAACUUCUAAUUAUGUACUAUUAUUAUCUUGUAUUGAU